GGAAAAGAAACCAACAGGGAUUGCCCUAGUAACGGCGAGUGAAGCGGCAACAGCUCAAAUUUGAAAUCUGGCCUCGGCCCGAGUUGUAAUUUGUAGAGGAAGCUUUUGGCGCGGCACCUUCUGAGUCCCCUGGAACGGGGCGCCAUAGAGGGUGAGAGCCCCGUAUAGUUGGAUGCCUAGCCUCUGUAAAGCUCCUUCGACGAGUCGAGUAGUUUGGGAAUGCUGCUCAAAAUGGGAGGUAAAUUUCUUCUAAAGCUAAAUACCGGCCAGAGACCGAUAGCGCACAAGUAGAGUGAUCGAAAGAUGAAAAGCACUUUGAAAAGAGGGUUAAAUAGCACGUGAAAUUGUUGAAAGGGAAGCGCUUGUGACCAGACUUGCGCCGGGCUGAUCAUCCGGUGUUCUCACCGGUGCACUCUGCCCGGCUCAGGCCAGCAUCGGUUCUCGCGGGGGGACAAAGGUCCCGGGAACGUAGCUCCUCCGGGAGUGUUAUAGCCCGGGGCGUAAUGCCCUCGCGGGGACCGAGGUUCGCGCUCUGCAAGGAUGCUGGCGUAAUGGUCACCAGCGACCCG
RNAcentral lists this ribosomal RNA (569 nucleotides) under Thielavia sp. 2 YHY-2018. Its description in RNAcentral is "partial large subunit ribosomal RNA". It matches the Rfam family "Eukaryotic large subunit ribosomal RNA", at positions 55 to 651 of the family's 3401-position model. Lineage: Eukaryota; Fungi; Ascomycota; Sordariomycetes; Coronophorales; Ceratostomataceae. The record is from RNAcentral.